GUUCAACCCGACUAGGAAUGAGUCAAGUUCAAAUUAAAACCGGAUGCGCAUUACGCUCCACUUUUUAUCCAAUUAGCAAAGUUCAGAAACUCUUAAGUGGUCCCGUUGGUGAGAAGUGAGUUGGUAGGACACAGCCAGACGGCCGUUGGAAACUACAUAGAGAAAGCCUGGGUAGAUCCACCAGAAGGAGCCUUUCAAAAUGAGGAAGAAGACAUUUAUUUACAUCGAAGGACACUCGUGAUUUGCUGACCCAGGCGGGUCACAGCAGCAGAUGUGCAGCAGUGCCAUCUGCGCAGGGUUCUCUUGUGUGUUUGUGCACAGACGGGCUCACGGACCGACAAGACCUUUAGGAAGACACCUACGAACAUCUUCAGAGCCGGCAGCCACGGGCAGGCCCACAGGCAUCACCCCGAAUCUCUUCCCAUCUUCCUUCAUCCGUGGAGCCCUCGGCAAGCCCUGUGUGGUGAAGAGCGCCUCCCCCGCUGACGUGUCCAGGCAGCUGACAGAGUGACUGCGACUGCGACUGCCAUUGUUGGCCUCAGCUCCUCGUUGUCCCCAGCUUCCAUACCCGCUGCCAUCACCAGGUCGCACACAGCCUACCUCAUGGCUCCCUUUCGUCAUGUGGGCCCCCCCAGCCUGUUGUUUCCCAAGUUGGCUGCCAGACAGCGCUUCAGAAAUGCUAAAUUUCUUUGCAGUGAGCACUCCCAGGGCCCAUCUUUUUUUUUUUUUUUUUUUUACAUUACUGUAUUCCUGAUAUUUAGCAUAGUAAGUAUCUCCUACAUCAUAGAUACUUAGAUGUUGACUGAAUAAAAAGGAGGACACAGGAGUUCUCUUGUGGUGCAGCAGGUUAAGGAUCCAGCACUGUCACUGCAGUGGCUUGGGUCGCUGCUGUAGCUUGGGUUCGGUCCCUGGCCCGGGAACUCCUACAUGCUACGGUCAUGGCCAAAAAACAGAGGACACGAAAGCAAAUUUUCUUCUUAAAAACAUGGCCAUUUCUAGUACACUUCCAAUUUAAAAUAAUUUUUGUUGGCCACACCUGUGGCAUGCGGAAGUUCCCGGGCCAAGGAUCGAACUCAUGCCACAGCAGUGACAAUCCUGAUCCUUAACUGCUAGGCCACCAGGGAACUCCAAAAUAAUUUACCUUGAUGCUUACACUUUAUUAAUGGAGUGUGGCUUCCCACCACCGCCAUGGAGCAGCUCUGAUAGAUUUGAGUGGUGGUGGGAACAGGUUCAUCCAGGGGACUCUCAUGGUAAAGGCGGUUAGGCCCAGAGAUUUGGGCCCUGUAGGAGAACUGAAAAAAUCCCUAAUCUUUAUGGAUAUAUGGAAAGAUUUGUCAGGGACAGUCCAAGUGCUUUCAAUAAAUCUGUCAGUGUUAUGUGUGUAUGUGUGUUUAGGAUUCGAAGAUGUAGCUAUGAGCUACAAACACGAAGGAGUUUAACAAAGCCGUCCCAUGUCCUAGGGACAAUUUUUCUCUUAUGUCUGCAAGCCAGUUGCUGGGUGGUUCCAUUUUUAUUGAGCCAGGCCAGUAUUUUUCUCUCCUAUGGAGGAGUCCCCUUUUUCAUGCUUUGGAACUGGAAUUUCAAAAUACAGAUAGUCAAAGGCAUGCUCGCUGUUGAGGUCUCCUAUAAAACACCUGAUUCGGUGAGCAAGUAUCAGCUCUGUCAAGUAUUCCUUUAAGAAAAGCUUUAUUGUACAUUUCACGUCCAUGUAAAAAUAGGGAUAGUGAUGGGACGUCACCCAGCAUCAGGAAUUAUCAGCUCAUAACCUGCCUUGUUUUGUCCACACUCUCCCCCACAUCUCCCACCUCCCAUGUUGUUUGGAGCAAAUCUGAUAGAUCAUUUAAUCUAUGAACAGGUCAGUAUGUAUAUCUAAAAGAUAAAGAAACGUUUUAAAAAGCAACCAUACCAUUAUCACACCUCAAAACUUAGUAAGUCAUUUUAAUGUCUGUAUUCCUAAGAGGUCUUUUGGGCCAAGGAUGAAACCUGUGCCACAGCAGUGACCCCAGCCACAGUGGUGACAACACUGGAUUCCCACCCGCUUGGCCACCGGGGAACUCCACAGAAUUCAUUUUUAACACCGUGGUGUCAUGAGAGAAACCAGGGCUCCUGGGAGAAAUGACUGAUUGCAGGGCGAGGACAGGGAAUAUACAGCUGGAGUCUGGCGCGUCUUCGUAUCAGAAGGAUGCGCUCCACAAAAGCACAGCGAUGAGAUAGAUCAGAGGGACGCAGGAGCCAAUGGAAAGCGCCUCCAGUGGCCACAUCUGGAAAGGCCUGAGCAACAGAAUGAAGUAGUAGUGGAUGAUAACCCAGCGCCUCAAGGAAGUAUCCCUGAGUCCAUAGCGCUGGAAAGCGGUGACUGGAGAGGGACACAAACGAGGGAGGACAGACGAACUGUGCAGACGAAUCCCGAAUCAGGUGGACACUCAGCCUCCAGGGAGCGGAGCCUCACUCCCCAGCCCUUCCGUGUGUGCUGUGCAGAGAGGUAUAUGCUUCCUUCCAAAAGAGGACAGCGUGGAAAGGGCCAAAGGAGGAACUGGACAGUGACCAACACGGCCUCAGCCAGGGGGUCAGUGUCAGCGUCAGCAACGAGAAGUCAUGGUGACAGUAUGUGCCCUUGAUAUGUGACGAGAAUGGCCCCUUAUCCCUGUGGUUUUCUUCCCCCAAACCCGUGACCCUAGUUUCAUCAUGAGGAAAAUCAGCAAACAAAUGCCAGCUGAAGAACAUUCUGCAAAACACCUGACCAGCACGCCUCAGAACUGCCCAGGUCAUCAAAAACAAGGCAAGUCUGAGAAACCAUCACAGCCGAGAGGAGCCCAAGGAGACCUGAUGACUGAACAUAAUAGGGUUUCUUGGAUGGGAUCCUGGAACAGAAAAAGGUGACUAGUAAGGAAGUGUGAAUCCAUUGUAGGCUUUCGUUGAUCAUAAUGGAUCAAUACGGAUUCAUUAGAUGUGGCAAAUGUGCCACAAUACAAGCUGCUAAUGACCGGGAAGAUGGCUGUGGGUACUCUCUUGACUCUCUUAGCAAUUUUUCUAUACAUUGCAGCUGUUCUAGAAUGAAACGUUUAUUAAAAAGUUCAUUAUAUCC
Molecule: long non-coding RNA, 3085 nt
Filed under: Sus scrofa (pig)
Lineage: Eukaryota; Metazoa; Chordata; Mammalia; Artiodactyla; Suidae
Description: lncRNA (ENSSSCG00030066423.1)
Source: RNAcentral